Long non-coding RNA from Papaver somniferum (opium poppy), 567 nucleotides. RefSeq lists it as uncharacterized. The transcript has 4 exons. The record is from RefSeq and is a predicted model, not a curated record. Lineage: Eukaryota; Viridiplantae; Streptophyta; Magnoliopsida; Ranunculales; Papaveraceae.
UAAAACUUUGAACUUUUGGUGCUAUUUGUUGAGCAAUCUUCUUCAUUUAGGUGUUGGUUGGUUCCAAGGAUGCUGUGAAACUCACUUUUGGGCGGUGCUAAUUCUGAAAGAUCAAAGGGAAUUUCUGCGUCUCCGUCAAUGCUUCCUAAGUGUACUCCAAUAUUGACAUCCCAGUUGUUGUAGAAUUGCGAGAAUGAAUUUCAUGGGGAACAAGAACGAGUUACUUUUCACGGGGAACUGGAAAUCUUAGUGAUGAUUGAAGUUUCGGUAGAUCUCAAGUUGUCAACACUAUAACUUCCAAUUUAAGCUCCAUCUGUGUUAAGAUUAAGUUCUUAAGAUUCAAAGUGAUUCAGGGGUUGUCAUUGGACGAAAAUCUUGAGAUAUAUAUGAAGCAGCCGCCAUGAAUUAUGUAGGUAUGAAAAAAUUAUUGCUUCUAUUUUAUGUAAGAUUUCGACAUUUUUUAGAACUUCGCUUUGUCUCCAAUGUAUUUUUGAUGCAAGAAGGUAAAUAAUAUGUCAAUGUUGAUGGUUUUUUGAACAGUACAAUCUAAUGCCAAGGUAAGGAUUG